GAUAUGUGGUCGUCCCUCUCACGCCACGAUUCCCGUCAUCCUCUCCCCCACCUCACCUUCGAAACGGAACUCAGCCCCGUCUUUACAGGCGAGCCCGUCCUGCAAGAUGUCCGCCGUGGUGCCGAAGUUUAUCGAUGAGCCCAGCAGCGUCGUGGCGGUUGCUGUGGACGGUCUCUGUGAGCUGAACAACCGUGUGAAGAAGAUAGAGAACACCAACGUUGUCGUCUCCUGUUGCCUAGAUCCGACCAAGGUCCUGCUGCUCUGUGGCGGCGGCUCCGGCCACGAACCGGCUCACUCUGGGUUCGUCGCUAAGGGCUGGCUGAGCGCGGCGGUAUGCGGCAGCGUCUUCGCCUCCCCGCCCACGGCGCACGUGAGCGCCGGCAUAGAGUACCUGGCCAAGCUCCAGGGACCUGAUGGUCCAGGUAUCCUCGUCAUCAUCAAAAACUACGCUGGCGACAUUCUCAACUUCGAGUACGCCGUCCGCCAAGCCCGUGCAGAGGGGAUUCAAGUCGAAACGGUGCUGGCAGCCGAUGAUGCGGUGUUCGGCACUAAAGAUGUACAGAAGCGUCGCGGUGUGGCGGGAUGCUGCCUCCUCUACAAAAUUCUCGGCGCUGCUGCGGAGCGUGGUUUGUCGCUGACGCAGCUGAAGGCGCUCGCUGACCGCGCCUCACGCAACAUGCGAUCCAUCGGUGCCUCGCUCUCGUCCUGCUCGCUGCCGGGCAACCCGGCCUCGUCUGUGAUGCCCUCCGGAACGGUUGAGGUGGGGCUGGGUAUUCAUGGAGAGAAGGGACUCUUCCAGAUCCCCUUCCAAGGCGCGGCGUCCCUCGUCCACUUCCUCAUCGGGAUUCUGAUGGGCAAGGGAGAAGUAGGUGCUCCCGGCAAGACCACCGCCAUCCACGCCGGUGUCAAGGCGCUCUUGCUGGUGAACAACCUGGGUGGGACAACGGACCUGGAGAUGUCUACUCUUGCGCACCACGCCUUGCGCGAACUUGCCGCCGCGCAGCUCACUGUUGUUGGAGUGCACAGCGGACGCCACAUGACAUCGUUAGACAUGCACGGCUUCUCGCUGACGCUGCUCGUAGUCGAGGACGAGAGGGACCUGGAGUUUAUGCUCAACACGAACGCGUUGCAGAAGCCGCUCAUGAACUUCCACGCGCCGCAGUUAAGCGGUGCGACGGUUCCGGGGCCGCUCACUGCGCUGCAGCUGGCACGGCAAGAGGCGGAGGCAGCAGGGCGCGCGGCAGCCACGCCGACCGGCAGCCCCCUCUGCGCCGCCGUGCAGCGCGUCUUCGAGAAGCUCAUGACGAUGGAGACCUACUUCAACGGCCUGGACGCGGAGGUAGGCGACGGCGACCUCGGCAGCGGCGUGCAUCGCUCGGCAAUGGCGGUGCUGGAAAUGCUGCCUUACCUGCCGUGGGAGGCCGACGUGCGGCGGACCUUCACGCUCAUCUCCAAAGCCGUCGCCGACGCCUUCGCCGGCACCUCUGGCCCGCUCUACGGUGCGCUGCUCAUCGGCGGCGGGAACGCCGCGGCGCAGGCGCUGAAGAGCGGCGGCGCAGUUGAGGCGGUGCGCGCGGCACUUGCGCACGGAAGCCACGAUGUGCAGGAGCUCAGCGGCGCGCGCCAGGGCGAUCGCACGAUGGUGGACGUGCUGGAGGGCAUGCGCGUGUGCCCGGCCGUCGCAGCGGCGGCGACGAUGCCGGAGCUGCUCAAGGCGUGCCACGAAGCGGCGCGGGCGGCCGCCGACGCGACGGCGCUGCUUCCCGCCCAGCUCGGCCGCAGUCGCUACAUGGAAGGAAAGGAGGUCGGCAAGAAGGACCCGGGCGCGGAGCUCGUGGUGGCCUGGGUCGAGGCGCUUGCCUGGGAGAGCAGCUGAUCGGGAAGCCUGUCAAUGUAUAUGUACGAUUCGCAUGCUGUAAGUGUUAUGUGACUGUUAGUCUGCCGUCAUGUAGAGGUAGAGAUGGCUUUGGGGAUGUUUGCUCUCCUUCACAUACCCUCGCUUCUGAUCGGUUACGCGGAGGAGUGUAUGGCACUUCUACUUGGGUAUAUCGCCGGCACCACCGCGUCUCGCUCCUCCCCUCGCCUCUUGCAUUCUCGUCUUCUGAUUUCUUGUUUUGUGGCGUGGCGGCUGCCUCCACACCGUCUAUGCUGCCUUGUCGGCCUCACAGUGGGGGUGGCGGUGGGGCGGCGAGGAGACGAGCCAAAUACGCGUCCACCGCCGGCCCCCUCCCCUUCUAUCUCGCGUGCAUCAGCUUCGUUAUUGCGUGUCUACUCAAUCUUCCUGCGCCAUGCGGCCCUUUCCUGCUCCGUAGCACACAGUCGCGUUGCUCUUGUCCUGUCUCUUGGCGUUUUUGUUUUCGCCGUUGUUCAUAUUGUGUGUCUGUGUACCUGUUUACAUGUCGGUGGUUGAUGGUUACGCUUUCAGGGCGGCCGGAUCAUCUCCCCGCUUCACGCACACUCCUGUCCUUUCUUCGUUCGAAUACCUGCGAAACACCUUCCCCCUAAACCCUCCCCCCGUCCCCUCCCGCAGCCAAUCACCACCCGCGUGCUGGCGUGUGCAACCCCCAGCACGCGGUACAAUAUAAACAGAGUAUAGAGAGAGAACGAAAACGCGCGCUCUCUCUUUGGGACUCUGUGUGCGUGUGUGCGUGUGUGCGUGUGCGUGUGCGUGUGUGCGUGUGCGUGUGUGCGUGCGUGUCCGCUUCCUAAAAGACGUGUUCCUCUUCUCGCGCGCACCCCCCCCCACAUCCCUGCUCAGAGAGGAAGGUAGGCGGCCGCCGCAGCCUGCGCAACGCCAUCGCUUCGUCUCCCUCUCCCUCUUGCUCCUUGUGUUUUGUUUAGGGAGUUUUGUGUGGAGGGGUGCGUCUUUCAUGUACUCGAGACUGUCCUCGUUCCUCAUCGCUUGCGGGGGGAGGGUAGUGGUGGGGAUGAGGUCGUCUUGGGGCCUGCGCAUGCCAGAGACAGAGAGGGCGGGGUGCAGAAGACGAUGAAGGGACGGCGCUUCCGCGGCACAAAAGCGAAGUGUGUGCGGACCUGCGCGGGAGCACAGGGAGAGAUGGAGGGACGGAGAAAGACGGCCCCAUCCACCCUUCCUCCUCUUGAGGGGUUUGGCGGGUUGCCGGCACAGCGCACCCAAAGAAGAAGGGUAUGGCGCUUCCCGUGCGCCAGUAGAUGUGUUCAUUGGUUGUGGGUGCCUCCCACGUCCCCAGCCCGCUCCUCUGCAGUCGGACGUGGCGCGCGUCACCCCACCCCCUGCUGUUAUCAUUGGGUUCGUCGGAAG
This 3280-nucleotide unclassified non-coding RNA is filed under the name Leishmania donovani. RNAcentral describes it as "gene:LdHU3.10.0610(CDS-product:dihydroxyacetone_k inase_1-like_protein)". The record is from RNAcentral. Lineage: Eukaryota; Euglenozoa; Kinetoplastea; Trypanosomatida; Trypanosomatidae.